GACGAACGCUGGCGGCGUGCUUAACACAUGCAAGUCGAGCGGUAAGGCCCUUUCGGGGGUACACGAGCGGCGAACGGGUGAGUAACACGUGGGUGACCUGCCCUCAGCUCUGGGAUAAGCCUGGGAAACUGGGUCUAAUACCGGGAUAUGACUCCAUGACGCAUGUUGUGGGGUGGAAAGCCUUGUGCGGCUGAGGAUGGGCCCGCGGCCUAUCAGCUUGUUGGUGGGGUGANGGCCUACCAAGGCGACGACGGGUAGCCGGCCUGAGAGGGCGACCGGCCACACUGGGACUGAGACACGGCCCAGACUCCUACGGGAGGCAGCAGUGGGGAAUCUUGCGCAAGUGGGACGAAAGCCUGACGCAGCGACGCCGCGUGAGGG
RNAcentral lists this ribosomal RNA (381 nucleotides) under uncultured bacterium. RNAcentral's name for it is "bacterial SSU rRNA". It matches the Rfam family "Bacterial small subunit ribosomal RNA", at positions 28 to 407 of the family's 1533-position model. The record is from RNAcentral.